Molecule: long non-coding RNA, 1189 nt
Filed under: Nicotiana benthamiana
Lineage: Eukaryota; Viridiplantae; Streptophyta; Magnoliopsida; Solanales; Solanaceae
Description: long non-coding RNA (NBEN_LNC026140)
Source: RNAcentral
AGUUAAGUUUUCAAGAUUCCAUAUAGUUAUUAUUUUGAAGAAAGCAAGAGUACAAGGUUACAAAAUGGUUCUUUAGCAUAUCCAAUACUCGUACAUAACUCACACAAACAUCUACGAAGCUUCUGAAUAUACAAAAGACAGUAAUAACAAUACUGGCAACAAGGCCCCAGCUAUACCUCAAAGAGGAUAUCUAUAACAAAAGAUGUAUAACAUAACCCCUUGAAGAAGGAAGGGGCUUACCAAGAUUUUGAGAAAAGGUUGCUCCGCUACACACGAUUGGCACUAUCCGCUAUGGAGCCACCUACAUUCAUUUAAAAAUGUUGCAUCCCCGACAAAAGGGAUGUUAGUACAAUGGAAUAGUACUUGCAGAGAUAACUAAACAUCAUCCUGUUAGAAAGAACAACCAUACAAGAGUAAGAGGAAAUCGUAAAGACAACAAAGUAUCAAAUGAGCACCACACCGACAAUAUAACGAGGUUCACAUGAUUUUCACUUGGUUUCUAUAAUUUUAGAUUGGAGCAUCCCAUACUGUCGUAUUACUAUCCACUUUACCACCGCUUCUUUGAGCGGAGUCCGAUCACCACCCGAUCGGUUAAGCCGUCUCCCGAUGAUGUUACCAUUAUUUCAUUCACACUUUCCAGUUUCAAUUAUCAAUACAUUACCACCAUGUGUAUAUAUCAUGGCGUCCGAUCACGGUCCAAUCGAUUAAGCCGCCUCCCCGAGACGUUAUCAUUUUCUAUUAUUCAUUUCACUCCAAUAUUUGGUUACACAUGGAUUAUUUUAUCGACACUUGGGGCCAUAAUUUUCACAUUUCAUAACCUACAUUUCAUAUUGUCCCAUUUUCAAUAUCUACCUUGCCACUAAAAGUCACAGGCAUAUACAAAAGCAAUUUAAGCCAUAAACAUAGAAGGAAAUUCGUCAAGUUUGGCAUAUUAGUUCCAGAGUAACCUUGGCAUGACAAUUAGACAUUUGUCAUAUAAAUUAUAUUCUCCACACAUCUUCGUUUUACAAGAAUAGCACAUAAACACAUAAAGAAGUUCCUACCACAUAUAUUUUUACAACAUCAAUUCACUUAACAUAACAAGCAUUGCAUCAACUAUGGUUCGAACUUUCAAUACUUACAUGGGCACCAUGGAAGCUCAAUUUCUAAGAGGAGGGGUUUUUAGCCAUACAUACCUCAAUAAAGUUUU